GAGGAUAUAGAUCAGUGGUAGAGCGCAUGCUUAGCAUGCACGAGACCCUGGCUUCAAUCCCCGGUACCUCCA
Molecule: transfer RNA, 72 nt
Organism: Camelus ferus (Wild Bactrian camel)
Lineage: Eukaryota; Metazoa; Chordata; Mammalia; Artiodactyla; Camelidae
Rfam family: tRNA
About the family: Transfer RNA (tRNA) molecules are approximately 80 nucleotides in length. Their secondary structure includes four short double-helical elements and three loops (D, anti-codon, and T loops). Further hydrogen bonds mediate the characteristic L-shaped molecular structure. tRNAs have two regions of fundamental functional importance: the anti-codon, which is responsible for specific mRNA codon recognition, and the 3' end, to which the tRNAs corresponding amino acid is attached (by aminoacyl-tRNA synthetases). tRNAs cope with the degeneracy of the genetic code in two manners: having more than one tRNA (with a specific anti-codon) for a particular amino acid; and 'wobble' base-pairing, i.e. permitting non-standard base-pairing at the 3rd anti-codon position.
Source: Rfam